RNAcentral lists this ribosomal RNA (255 nucleotides) under uncultured bacterium. RNAcentral describes it as "partial 16S ribosomal RNA". It matches the Rfam family "Bacterial small subunit ribosomal RNA", at positions 78 to 334 of the family's 1533-position model. The record is from RNAcentral.
UCUUUCUUUGCUGGCGACCGGCGCACGGGUGAGUAACACGUAUCCAACCUGCCCUUUACUCGGGGAUAGCCUUUCGAAAGGAAGAUUAAUACCCGAUAGCAUAAUGAUUCCGCAUGGUUUCAUUAUUAAAGGAUUCCGGUAAAGGAUGGGGAUGCGUUCCAUUAGGUUGUUGGUGAGGUAACGGCCCACCAAGCCUUCGAUGGAUAGGGGUUCUGAGAGGAAGGUCCCCCACAUUGGAACUGAGACACGGUCCAA